RNAcentral lists this unclassified non-coding RNA (3179 nucleotides) under Haliotis rubra (blacklip abalone). RNAcentral's name for it is "annulin-like, transcript variant X1". Lineage: Eukaryota; Metazoa; Mollusca; Gastropoda; Lepetellida; Haliotidae. The record is from RNAcentral.
CUGAAAGGCCUUCAGUGUUGAAGACUUUCUGCACAGCCUCAGCUAGAAGGUGAUCGCAACGAUCUUACAAUGGGCUUUUUCUUCCGAUUCGGUAACCCACGCAAUCCCAGGUGUCGCAGGGGCGGCAUGGGCAGGUUCAGGGGGAGGGGCGGUCGCAACCGAGGAGGCGGACGACGUCGAUGCAUUGGUUCCAGGCGGGUGCCCUCAUAUUGCAGCCCCAACUCUCGACCACGCCCUUCAGAAUGUGACGAAAGGUUCUUUCGACCUGGAAUCGGUAAUUUUUUUUAACCAACUGUUUCCGAGGCCACGCCCGUCAACACGCCCAGGGCCACCGGGUUCACGACCGCAAGGCCCGUCGCCACGCCCACCAAUAGAAGAAUGUGAAAUACCAACUGUAGGGCCCGACUGGGAGCAAGCCACGCAGCAGCAAGAAGAGACAAUACCAGAGGAGCCAGAUGUAAAAGAAGAAGAGCUGGCAACAAAACUGCACGUAACUGGGGUCGACCUUCACUACGCCGACAAUGCCAAGGCGCAUCACACUGAUAUGUACGCAUGCGCGAAGGGAACUGAAGGCAGAGACGCAGAGCUUGUUCUUCGUAGAGGUCAAGAUUUCAAGAUGACCAUCACCUUCGACAGGCCGUAUGACAUCAAGCAGAAUGAUAUCACGUUGAUGUUUAAUUUGGGUGACGACUACAAACCCAACAAAAGUUUGAAUGCAUCCUUCAGGGUGGACGAAACUGGGGCCACCAAGUACAAGCCGAAGUGCUGGGGUGCGACGGUCAUCGGUCAGAAGGGCAACUCCCUCACACUGUCCGUCUUCGUUCCGGCAACUGUGCCCAUCGGCGAGUGGGAAUUCGCUGUCCAAACUAUCGUGGACGUCAAGGACGGCAAGAACAUUGUCUGGCAGUACGACCACACAGCGGACGCCAUUGACAUAAUAUUCAAUCCAUGGUGCAAAGAGGACUGGGUGUACAUGGAGGACGACGUGUGGAGGACAGAGACGGUCCUCAACGACAACGGCACUCAGUACUACGGCACCUACAGCAAGGUCGGGGUGUCAGCCUGGGCCUACAACCAGUUCAGCUAUGGCAUAUUGGACGCUGCUCUUCACCUUGUGAGGAAAUCAUACGGAUUCCAGGCCACUCCAGCCAUGGCCAGCCCAGUCAAAGUCUGCAGGAAGAUUGCCCAGAUUGUUAACUCCUCCGACGAUGACGGGGUCCUCGUGGGCAACUGGACCGGGAAGUAUGCUGGGGGUGUUGCCCCGUCCACGUGGGUGGGUAGUGAGAACAUCCUAUUGAAGUAUAUGAAGACAGGGAAACCAGUGCGGUACGGCCAGUGCUGGGUGUUCUCCGCUGUCACCACGACUGUGUGUAGAGCUAUUGGGCUGCCUUGCCGCAGUGUCACCAACUACUCCUCUGCCCACAACACCGACAUGGCCAGGCUCAGCAUCGACGUCAUCAAAAGACAAGUGGGCCGCAAGAUUGAAGAAGUCAGGGAUGACUCCACAUGGAACUUCCACGUGUGGAAUGAGGUUUACAUGAGACGCCCGGAUCUGAACACAGACGCCAUGAAGUACGAUGGGUGGCAGGUUAUUGAUGCCACACCCCAGGAACGAAGCGAUGGUGUGUACGUGUGUGGCCCAGCCCCUGUCGUUGCCGUCAAAGAAGGUCACCUAGAUGUGGGGGACGACACCAGCUUCGUCUACGCCGAGGUGAACGCCGAUAAAGUGGAAUGGACGAACAGCAAUCAGCUCAAUGCCUUGGUGGAGACAAAGCGAUAUAGAAAUGUUAUCGGCAAGUGCAUCAGCACCCACAAACCGACAGGGAAGCCCUACGUCUCUUCUUCAACAGGCAACUUGAUGACUGGGGAUGACAGGAUGGAGAGGGAAGACCUCACUAAGUGCUACAAGUACGAAGAAGGAUCGGUAAAGGAGAAGGAAAUUUACAGAGCUGCAGAGAGGAAGUUCCGUCUGAUGAACGGUGACGACAGUGACCCGGCCAAAGCCGCUGCCCAGCCGCAGACUGGCAACCUUGACAUUGAGAUUGAGGAGAUUGACGAUAUCACAGUAGGCAGCCCAUUCACCUGCAAGGUGAAGGUCAAGAACACUGGCAGUAAAUCAUUACGUACCGCCGAUGUGAUGCUCAAGGUGAUGUACAAAACCUACUUCGACGCCGUCACGGGGAUCGCUGCUGAAAGCACAGUGGACAAUGUGAAGCUGAGGGCUGGUGAUUGCAAAGAAUUCACCAUAGAUGUAACGAGAGAGGAAGCAUGCGAGAGGCCUGAAGAUGAAUUCAACUUCGAAGUGAAAGCUGAUGUCAUUUGCUGGGAGGAUGAGAGGGACAAUGCUACAAAGGACCUGGACUUCCGCCUGAGGAAACCCGACCUGACGCUCUCGGGUCCGGCGACGUGCACCCUCUCUGAUACAAUCAGAGUGGAAGCUUCCUUCAAGAACCCACUGUCGGUGCCGCUGACGGGGUGCUCGGUGUCGCUCGCAGGAGGAUUUGCCCCAGUAGGCAUUACCAAGGAGACCAUGGAGAUUAGGAACAUCGGGCCUGGCAAAUCUUGGUCCACCACUCUCAAUCUCUGUCCCAAAGAGGCUCCCCGCGGGGCGAAGGCACGAGCUGUUUGUUUGGGGUUCGAUUCCAAGGAGCUUCCUGACGUUACAGGGAAGUUCUCCUUGGAACUUGUGGAAGAGGCUGCAGUAAAGAUAACCAAGUAAUUGAAAACUUCCUACAGCGUUAUGUAACAGCGUUUGAAAUGUAUUCUUUUCUUCAUUUUGUUAAACUUCCAAAUAUCUUGGUGAUGGUAGAACUAAUACGUGAACGCUUGCGUAGCCUUGAUGGUACCAUUUUAGGCUGAUUGACGUAUGGUAUGAUUGAGCGGCCACUGUGGUAGAACUUGGAGGCUGAUAGGAAAGAACUUUGAAAAUAGUGCCUUCCAGAUUUGAGGAAAGUGUUCUCAGAGACCAGAGGAUGAUGUUUCAUCUCUUUGAUGAUGCUGUUGAAUAGAUUUGCAGAUGAACCAAUGCUUUGAAGGAACCGUUUAGACCUUUGAAUGUGGUUUGUAUUGGAAUGGAGAGAUGUCCGACGAUUUCGUACGGUUUUUGUCGCUUUUGUUUUUUAAGCUUUGGUGAUACUUUCUAAGUAAACUUAGGCUCAGUAUUAUUCGUUACACUGCUA